UGAAGAAUAUAUUUGUUAGUUCUCUAUCUUUUUUGUAAUGCACAUAUGCUUGUGGCAUGCACUGAAAUUCUUAUACACUUUACCAGACACACUUGCACAGACAUGUAGAACAACAAUCAAACAAAAUAACUGGAAAUAAUCAAACACCAUUCCUUUACUAAGUAACUAACAUCUCACUUUAGAUAGCAUAUUUGUUCUUCCCUGAUGUCAUGGAAUAAUUCUUGUUAAUUAUAAUCCAUGACAGAAUGAUAUGCAUGUACUCAAUAAUUUUGUGAUAACACAGUAGAACUCUACAAAUGAGUUCCGUCCUUGGAUGGAUCAAGCGUUGAUGUGUCGCACCCACACACACAUGUGUGUUAUGUGGUAAUCCGCGUGUCUGGCAGUCCAUGAGGUAGAGGAUGAACUGUGGAUUUAUCUAAGCAACCUUGGCUCUAGAUCAAGCUUGUGUUUCAGUAGGACGUGCAUCUAGUAACUUUGUGAUAACACAAAUGUAUACUUUUACUUACGAAGCCUUUUAUCCCAAACAAGUUGGGGUAGGCUAGAUAUGAAACCCUUUCACGAGGACUUCCCAGGAGGUCACCCAUCCUAGUACUACUCUCGCUCAAAUGGGUUUCAUACCUAUGGGACUGGCUAGUUUUUACGUUGGCUCGCCAAGCCUAUCACAACCCUCCUCCUUUACCCGGGCUUGGGACCGGCUAUGCCUAGAAGACAUAGGCGGAGUU
Non-coding RNA from Aegilops tauschii subsp. strangulata, 722 nucleotides. The record is from RefSeq and is a predicted model, not a curated record. NCBI's taxonomy places the organism in Eukaryota, Viridiplantae, Streptophyta, Magnoliopsida, Poales, Poaceae.